GAAUAUUGGACAAUGGGGGGAACCCUGAUCCAGCCAUGCCGCGUGUGUGAAGAAGGCCUUUUGGUUGUAAAGCACUUUAAGCGAGGAGGAGGCUACUUAGAGUAAUACUCGAGGAUAGUGGACGUUACGCGCAGAAUAAGCACCGGCUAACUCUGUGCCCGCAGCCGCGGGAAUACAGAGGGUGCAAGCGUUAAUCGGAUUGACUGGGCGUAAAGCGCGCGUAGGUGGACAAUUAAGUGAAAUGUGAAAUCCCCGAGCUUAACUUGGGAAUGGCAUUCGAUACUGGUUGGCUAGAGUAUGGGAGAGGAUGGUAGAAUUCCAGGUGUAGCGGUGAAAUGCGUAGAGAUCUGGAGGAAUACCGAUGGCGAAGGCAGCCAUCUGGCCUAAUACUGACACUGAGGUGCGAAAGCAUGGGGAGCAAACA
This 424-nucleotide ribosomal RNA is filed under the name uncultured bacterium. RNAcentral's name for it is "partial 16S ribosomal RNA". It matches the Rfam family "Bacterial small subunit ribosomal RNA", at positions 359 to 774 of the family's 1533-position model. The record is from RNAcentral.